RNAcentral lists this ribosomal RNA (397 nucleotides) under uncultured bacterium. RNAcentral's name for it is "partial 16S ribosomal RNA". It matches the Rfam family "Bacterial small subunit ribosomal RNA", at positions 338 to 732 of the family's 1533-position model. The record is from RNAcentral.
CCUACGGGUGGCAGCAGUGAGGAAUAUUGGUCAAUGGACGGAAGUCUGAACCAGCCAUGCCGCGUGCAGGAAGACGGCUCUAUGAGUUGUAAACUGCUUUUGUACGAGGGUAAACCUGAAUACGUGUAUUCAGCUGAAAGUACUGUACGAAUAAGGAUCGGCUAACUCCGUGCCAGCAGCCGCGGUAAUACGGAGGAUCCAAGCGUUAUCCGGAUUUAUUGGGUUUAAAGGGUGCGUAGGCGGAUUGAUAAGUUAGAGGUUAAAUGUCCGAGCUUAACUCGGGAACUGCCUCGAAUACUGGUGAUCUAGAGAGUAGAUGCGGUAGGCGGAAUGUAUGGUGUAGCGGUGAAAUGCUUAGAGAUCAUACAGAACACCGAUUGCGAAGGCAGCUUACCAA